Molecule: ribosomal RNA, 275 nt
Filed under: uncultured bacterium
Lineage: Bacteria
Description: partial 16S ribosomal RNA
Rfam family: Bacterial small subunit ribosomal RNA
Source: RNAcentral
CGGACCCGGGACCGGCCGACGGUACGGUAGAACAACGUACUACCACCUACGCCUCAUACUCGGGGAUAGCCUUUCGAAAGAAAGAUUAAUACCCGAUGUUAUAGUCCUACCGCAUGAUGGGAUUAUUAAAGAAUUUCGGUAUGGGAUGGGGAUGCGUUCCAUUAGUUAGUUGGCGGGGUAACGGCCCACCAAGACAACGAUGGAUAGGGGUUCUGAGAGGAAGGUCCCCCACAUUGGAACUGAGACACGGUCCAAACUCCUACGGAAGGCAGCAG